CGCGCUGCCAGGUGAGAUUUGGGGCGAAUUCGGGGGAUUUUGGGGCAUUUUGGGGGAUUUGGGGUCAUACUGGGGGGUAUUGGGGUCAUAUUGGGAGUCAUACAGGGGGAUUUGGGGGCAUUGGGGUGACCCCCGGCACAUGGUGCUGCUGCGCGGCAUCGCCCUGCCAGGUGAGUUUUGGGGCAAAUUCGGGGGAUUUUGGGUCAUUUUGGGUCAUUUGGGGGGAUAUUGGGGAGUUAUGGGGUCAUACUGGGGGGUAUUGGGGUCAUAUUGGGAGGUAUUGGGGUGAUACAGGGGGUAUUGGGGUGAGCCCCGGCACAUGGUGCUGCUCAGGGGCAUCGCCCUGCCAGGUGAGAUUUGGGGCAAAUUCGGGGGAUUUUGGGGCAUUUUGGGUCAUUUGGGGUCAUUUUGGGUCAUUUUGGGGGAUUUAGGGUCAUAAUGGGAGGUAUUGGGGUCAUACAGGGGGUAUUGGGUGACCCCCGGCACAUGGUGCUGCUGCGCGGCAUCGCGCUGCCAGGUGAGAUUUGGGGCGAAUUCGGGGGAUUUUGGGGCAUUUUGGGGGAUUUGGGGUCAUACUGGGGGGUAUUGGGGUCAUAUUGGGAGGUAUUGGGGUGAUACAGGGGGUAUUGGGGUGAC
This 636-nucleotide long non-coding RNA is filed under the name Anas platyrhynchos platyrhynchos (common mallard). RNAcentral's name for it is "lncRNA (ENSAPLG00000030498.1)". Lineage: Eukaryota; Metazoa; Chordata; Aves; Anseriformes; Anatidae. The record is from RNAcentral.